Molecule: ribosomal RNA, 253 nt
Filed under: uncultured bacterium
Lineage: Bacteria
Description: partial 16S ribosomal RNA
Rfam family: Bacterial small subunit ribosomal RNA
Source: RNAcentral
GACAGAGGGUGCUAGCGUUGUUCGGAAUUACUGGGCGUAAAGGGCUCGUAGGCGGCCAACUAAGUCGGACGUGAAAUCCCCAGGCUCAACCUGGGAACUGCGUCCGAUACUGGAUGGCUUGAAUCCGGGAGAGGGAUGCAGAAUUCCAGGUGUAGCGGUGAAAUGCGUAGAUAUCUGGAGGAAUACCGGUGGCGAAGGCGGCAUCCUGGACCGGCAUUGACGCUGAGGAGCGAAAGCCAGGGGAGCAAACGGG